Molecule: long non-coding RNA, 219 nt
Filed under: Medicago truncatula (barrel medic)
Lineage: Eukaryota; Viridiplantae; Streptophyta; Magnoliopsida; Fabales; Fabaceae
Description: long non-coding RNA (MTRU_LNC003008)
Source: RNAcentral
AUCGAAUAUAAUAAUAUAAUAUGAUUUUGUUAUUAUUCUUGUUCCAUUUUAUAAAGACUGACCACAACCAGCUUCUUCUCCUUGGUCUGAUGCAUUACUUCAUCAAUCAUCAUGCAAUUGCAAUGUAGAAAUAAAAGAUUAUCAUCAUCCAAACUUAGCAGCAGUGUUACUCUAUCUAAAUUUGAUCAUUGGGCAGGUACUCUUUUUGUCAUGUACGCA